GGCCAGAAGAGGAAAGACUGGCUGAGAAGCCGGAAGCGGAGGGCCAGGGACCUGGCAUUUAUCAAGCCCUGCCGGUGCCAGGCACUGUGCUGGCUGCUGGGUCUGAAGAAGGCAGAGAUGGAGAUGAACGAAGCAGUGAGUGAUACAGGCUUGAGAG
Long non-coding RNA from Mus musculus (house mouse), 157 nucleotides. RefSeq annotates it as predicted gene, 53351. NCBI's taxonomy places the organism in Eukaryota, Metazoa, Chordata, Mammalia, Rodentia, Muridae. The transcript is spliced from 2 exons. The record is from RefSeq and is a predicted model, not a curated record.